GUGUGUAUACCUGCAGAGUUGUAACAUGCGGGCAUUUCUCCCCCCACCCCGCCAUUCUGGCUUCUUAACUUGCACCCUAACAGCUCGACAGAACCUUGGCGUCCACAAAAAGGAUUUGAGGUGGGACAUGGAAGAACAGGGACCCCACCUGGUUUGUCCACCCGGCCCACACCUGCAUUCCUCACCCAACCUACCACUUCAGAGCCGGGAAAAGACCUCAGAGAACAUCCGCUCCGACUCCACCGAGGCUCAGACAGGACAAGAAGAGUGUGCUGGACACUGGGAAAUGUGGUCCAGGAGCAGUCACAGUCCCUACAGACCUCCCACAAAUUACCAUAAUGCAAAGAGUGCUCAGCCCCUGCCGACAUGAGCAAUGGGCAGCGCGUCCAGCUGGGUUCCUGCCCCACGAGAAGCACACAGCCUGGUUUGGUAGGUGGGGCUCCAUCAGGGCUGUUUGGAUACCUGGGUGGAGCCCGCAGACCAUCCCCCACCUUGUGUGGUUAGGGCUUUGCUAGGAAGGCCCAACUGUGCGCCAUGACCUUGGAACUCGAUGUGAGAUCCCUGGACCGGCAGCAGCACCUGGAAGCUUGUUGGAAAUGCUGAUCUCAGGUGGGACUCCAGAAUUCCCGCAUCUGCACCUGCACUCCCAAAAUACCUCCCCACCAGGUGAUCCGAGGCCAUGGGGCGGUCUGAAGGGCACUGUGCUGGGGCGUCCCACCACUAGAGAUCCAGUCCGGUAAUCUGAAGAUGUAAGUGCCCCCAGGAGGAGUGACGGAGUGACACAAAUGACACAAGGGGAGGGGACUUGUCAGGUGUCCACUCCUGACUACAAGUUCCCAGGGCAGAAGGCAAUGCCCCCACAGGGACUUUUCUAGACACUCCGAGUGCACCUGAAUUGCAUUUUGAGUGAUGCUACCUGCUAAGCAGGAAGAGCCCUCCGGAGCCUCGGAAAGCAGAGUGGAAGUGGUGGUGCCCAGGACGCAUGGGCUCUGAUGGGAAGGGGGAGGUGGGCCUGAGCAUGGGCCUUCUUCUCCCCAGGUCAGAGGGGCCUGGAUGCCCCUGGAGGGAACACUGAGGUCACCUCUGGCCAAAUCUUCCUGUUCUGCCAGUACCCAGCCCUGUUCAGUGACAUCAAGCUUUUGGGUCCCUGUCCUGGGGCCCUCCACGCUGGCCGGGCUGUGUAGAGACGCCCUUCUCUCUACUUUAUUGGGUCCAGAUUGUUGUGUGGCUUCUCCCCUCCUCUGCAGCCUGGGGUCUGAAAACAGCGACGCCAACAGACAGACAGAUUUCCAAAAGAAAGGUCCGGCUCAGCCAAGGACAAAGGGGCCUUGCAGAGGCUCCUGGGGGUCAGAAAGCUGAGAGUCUACCGGGCAGGUGCCUUCUGCACCCACAGGCACAAGCUACAACAGCUUUCCAAGAAGCGCAUCCACAUCAUCCCCAGGUCCAGAUGCCCACAUCGCCCUGCAGGGACCGAGACCACACUCGGGCUGCUUGGACAGGAUGUAGCGGGUCACUGUUCUGGAGCUGGCCCCUCUGUAGCCUGUGACAAUCAGCUUGAGUCUCUGCCAAGUCUCCGCCUUCUGUUCUUCUUGCCCACCUUGAAGCAGAGUUGACUUUUUGGGUUUUUCCAGCAGACAAAGCUCACUCAAUCUGACACUGUGGAGGUUGUUAAUUUAACAACCAACCCAUCCUCAUGUUGAGAAACCAGCUCCAAAUGCUCACCGGGCUGUCAGGGAUGGGGAGCCUCAUGGGUGAAAGAAGGUUGUGAUGGCAUAAUUUAAACCAAAAGAGGCAUUUGCGGUUGCCCGUGUUGCCCCAGGCCUGCUGGCCUCCUGCUGUGAACGUUUUGGGCAAUACCAUCUCUGCCAGUGACCCCCAAUUGUCCACUUGUCUCCAGCAAGAUCGAACCAUGUAAGUGCCAUUUCUGACAACUUGGGUGAACGUUGGUUUCAAAUCAUCAACUCUGCAUUCAAGUGCCCUGCUACAAUUCUGGCUCACUCUGCGGGAAUAACUGCCUGCCUGGGCACGUUGCCGUUGCUGCCUCCCAAACGGCAGUUUCUGGGGUCCCAGGUCAUCCAGGUUGGAUGUGGCUUGGGAGAGACCUGUAGCACCAGGUUGGAGGGAGGUCUCACCUCUCCUUUCUGAGCUGUGGACUGCAGCUUCAGGACCCUAUGGAUGAGGCCGAAUGUCAUGAAGAUAAUGGAAUUUGGAGUCUCAGCAAAGCCAAGCCACAUGCCAGAGAUUCACCACCUGGGGCCCAGGAUCAGAAGUGUGCCCUUAGGAGGCCAAACAUCCACCUGUCUACCAACUAGACAUUUGGUCUCAGACAGCAAGAAAGGCUGCGUUUAUGUCAUUAGGGGGAACACCACGGUCUUCGGCAUGAGAGAGGUGUAAUUCUCAAGUUCCUCAGAGCUUGGCUUCCCCCAUGAGAGGAAACAAUUUGCCAGGUUGAAGAACACACGCUUUGAGGGUUCUCAGAGGCUGACACCUGUUGUGAAUCUUGGAAACUCAAGCCCCAGUGCAAACGGCCUUGAAGGAGGUCGAGCAUCAUGGUUCCAACAAGUGACUCACUUUGAUAACCCGAUGUGUAAGCAGAAUCGCAAUGCAUCCGUCCUUCCCUAAUCAUCACGUGGCUGUCAUCUGGUCAAUGAACUGAGGCCCGAAGGCUUGAGUCAAACUGGUUUUCAAGGCUGUGCUCAUGGGAUUUAUAUGUUUCUUGAGCCCUGUUGGAGGCUCUUGGCAGGUCUGAACAUUAAACAUUUCUUUUCUUCCUUUUGC
RNAcentral lists this non-coding RNA (2778 nucleotides) under Pan troglodytes (chimpanzee). The record is from RNAcentral. Lineage: Eukaryota; Metazoa; Chordata; Mammalia; Primates; Hominidae.